This 253-nucleotide ribosomal RNA is filed under the name uncultured bacterium. RNAcentral describes it as "partial 16S ribosomal RNA". It matches the Rfam family "Bacterial small subunit ribosomal RNA", at positions 524 to 776 of the family's 1533-position model. The record is from RNAcentral.
GACGAGCCACCCAAACGUUAUUCGGAAUUACUGGGCUUAAAGGGUGCGUAGGCGGCUAUGUAAGUCAGGAGUGAAAGUUUGCGGCUCAACCGUAAAAUUGCUUUUGAUACUGCAUGGCUAGAAUUAGGAUGAGGUCAGCGGAAUGUGGCAUGUAGCGGUGAAAUGCAUAGGUAUGCCAUAGAACACCAAUUGCGAAGGCAGCUGGCUAGACCUGUAUUGACGCUGAGGCACGAAAGCGUGGGGAGCGAACAGG